CAUAGUUCAUUUAUGCGGUUAGAACGCUGGCCUUGUAAUCCUGGGGUCUCGGGUUCGAUUCCCGGUG
This 67-nucleotide transfer RNA is filed under the name Zootermopsis nevadensis. It matches the Rfam family "tRNA", at positions 6 to 65 of the family's 71-position model. From Rfam's summary of the family: Transfer RNA (tRNA) molecules are approximately 80 nucleotides in length. Their secondary structure includes four short double-helical elements and three loops (D, anti-codon, and T loops). The record is from Rfam by way of RNAcentral. Lineage: Eukaryota; Metazoa; Arthropoda; Insecta; Blattodea; Termopsidae.